This is a non-coding RNA of Zootermopsis nevadensis, 73 nucleotides long. Lineage: Eukaryota; Metazoa; Arthropoda; Insecta; Blattodea; Termopsidae. The record is from Rfam.
GCCACGGUGGUCUAGCGGUGAGAACGCUGGCCUUGUAAUCCUGGGGUCUCGGGUUCGAUUCCCCGCGGUGCCC